GUACUGCUGAAGAGUCCCGAGCCAGGACGAAACAUCUGUCCAGUAC
RNAcentral lists this non-coding RNA (46 nucleotides) under Trichobilharzia regenti. The record is from RNAcentral. Lineage: Eukaryota; Metazoa; Platyhelminthes; Trematoda; Strigeidida; Schistosomatidae.